Molecule: ribosomal RNA, 499 nt
Filed under: uncultured bacterium
Lineage: Bacteria
Description: bacterial SSU rRNA
Rfam family: Bacterial small subunit ribosomal RNA
Source: RNAcentral
CAGAUGAACGCUGGCGGCAGGCUUAACACAUGCAAGUCGAGCGGGGAUAGGGUGCUUGCACCUGAUUCCUAGCGGCGGACGGGUGAGUAAUGCUUAGGAAUCUGCCUAUUAGUGGGGGACAACGUUCCGAAAGGGACGCUAAUACCGCAUACGUCCUACGGGAGAAAGCAGGGGAUCUUCGGACCUUGCGCUAAUAGAUGAGCCUAAGUCGGAUUAGCUAGUUGGUGGGGUAAAGGCCUACCAAGGCGACGAUCUGUAGCGGGUCUGAGAGGAUGAUCCGCCACACUGGGACUGAGACACGGCCCAGACUCCUACGGGAGGCAGCAGUGGGGAAUAUUGGACAGUGGGGGGAACCCUGAUCCAGCCAUGCCGCGUGUGUGAAGAAGGCCUUUUGGUUGUAAAGCACUUUAAGCGAGGAGGAGGCUUACCUGGUUAAUACCUGGGAUAAGUGGACGUUACUCGCAGAAUAAGCACCGGCUAACUCUGUGCCAGCCGCCGC